Seriola dumerili (greater amberjack) is the source of this 487-nucleotide long non-coding RNA. RefSeq lists it as uncharacterized. The transcript has 4 exons. The record is from RefSeq and is a predicted model, not a curated record. Lineage: Eukaryota; Metazoa; Chordata; Actinopteri; Carangiformes; Carangidae.
CCUUGAAAGCAUGCUUUUGCAAGCUAUACCAGUUAGACCCGAAAUGUUUGCAAUAAUUAUGGCUGAGACGCGCCUUGCGUGCAUAGUUUCUUGUCAUUAUUAUGAUACAUGAUUAUCGGAGGUUUCAGAAAAACUUUAAUCAAUCAUUAAAAGCUAACAUGUUGGAGCAAUGUGACUAGGCCGCAUCGACGAGGACAAUGUGACGGGCUGGUGAAAAAGUCGGAUUGAUGCAGUGUGUUUGAGGUGAUUGCACAUCCACACGUGGACAAAACGGUGGUGGACUUGCAGACGAAGGAAGGCCUGCGGUCCCACGAUUUUGCAAUGGAGCUGGACUUGAGUGUGGAUGGAUCAAAGAAGUAACGGCAAAGGGUUGGGCUGCGGUGUCAGAGAAAUGAACAUGGUUACCAUAAAGGACAAGAUGAUACCAUGACCUAUUAAUGAUGAUGCUUUUGCAUUCCCUGAUCUAUUUUUGAAAUGGAAAAUAAAA